AUGGCAUCGCCGUCGGGAAGCGCCGGGGACCGAGCCGAGCCUUGCGGGGGCUCCUCCUCUACUAUCUCCCCAAUCCGGCCGAUGCUCUCUUCAGCUCCUCCUCCUACUCUUCUCCCCCCAGUAUGGAGGGAAUUUGUGUGGGGAGCAAUUGCAGGCGCAUUUGGAGAAGGCAUGAUGCAUCCAGUUGACACCCUGAAAACAAGGCUUCAGAGUCAAGCUAUAAUGUCAGGUGCUAAGGCUCAGAAGAAUAUUUUCCAGAUGGUCAGGACAGUUUGGGCUUCUGAUGGACUGAGAGGUUUUUACAGAGGAAUUAGUCCAGGCGUUACUGGUUCACUUGCUACAGGUGCAACAUAUUUUGGUGUUAUUGAAUCAACAAAGACAUGGCUGGAGAACAAUAAUCCCAAUCUUAGUGGUCAUUGGUCUCACUUUAUUGCUGGAGGAAUUGGAGAUACACUUGGAUCUUUUAUCUAUGUGCCUUGUGAAGUUAUGAAGCAACGGAUGCAAGUCCAAGGCUCCAGCAAAUCUUGGGCACUAAAUGCUACAAAAGGAAAUGUUUCUCAAUCUCCUGGCACUCAGAUGUAUGGGUACUAUAAUGGAAUGUUCCAUGCUGGUUCUUCUAUCUGGAGAGAUCAUGGUGUGAAGGGACUCUAUGCAGGAUAUGGGUCUACGCUUGCCAGGGAUGUCCCGUUUGCUGGCCUAAUGGUAACUUUCUAUGAAGGGUUGAAAGAACUUACUGUGUAUGGGAAGAGGAAGUAUUUGCCAGACAGUGAUUUACAAGUCAGCAACUCUUUUGAAGGGCUUGUUCUAGGAGGAUUAUCAGGCGGUUUUAGUGCAUACUUGACAACCCCCUUGGAUGUCAUCAAGACAAGACUUCAAGUACAAGGAUCAACAACUAGGUACAAUGGAUGGCUGGAUGCUAUAAAAAAGACAUGGGAUGCUGAGGGAGUGAAUGGCUUAUUCAAGGGAAGCGUCCCUCGGAUAAUAUGGUAUAUACCCGCAUCUGCAUUCACGUUCAUGGCGGUGGAAUUCCUGAGAGAGCAUUUCAACGAGAAGGCCGAUACAGAUGCGGAGACGGCCUUGAACUAG
RNAcentral lists this ribosomal RNA (1086 nucleotides) under Triticum aestivum (bread wheat). RNAcentral describes it as "partial small subunit ribosomal RNA". Lineage: Eukaryota; Viridiplantae; Streptophyta; Magnoliopsida; Poales; Poaceae. The record is from RNAcentral.